RNAcentral lists this ribosomal RNA (768 nucleotides) under uncultured bacterium. Its description in RNAcentral is "bacterial SSU rRNA". It matches the Rfam family "Bacterial small subunit ribosomal RNA", at positions 669 to 1437 of the family's 1533-position model. The record is from RNAcentral.
CCAUGUGUAGCGGUGAAAUGCGUAGAUAUAUGGAGGAACACCGGUGGCGAAAGCGGCUCUCUGGUCUGUCACUGACGCUGAGGCUCGAAAGCGUGGGUAGCGAACAGGAUUAGAUACCCUGGUAGUNCACGCCGUAAACGAUGAGUGCUAGGUGUUAGGUCCCUUCCGGGACUUAGUGCCGCAGCUAACGCAAUAAGCACUCCGCCUGGGGAGUACGACCGCAAGGUUGAAACUCAAAGGAAUUGACGGGGGCCCGCACAAGCGGUGGAGCAUGUGGUUUAAUUCGAAGCAACGCGAAGAACCUUACCAGGUCUUGACAUCCCGAUGCCCGCUCUAGAGAUAGAGUUUCUCUUCGGAACAUCGGAGACAGGUGGUGCAUGGUUGUCGUCAGCUCGUGUCGUGAGAUGUUGGGUUAAGUCCCGCAACGAGCGCAACCCUUAUUGUUAGUUGCCAUCAUUGAGUUGGGCACUCUAGCGAGACUGCCGGUAAUAAACCGGAGGAAGGUGGGGAUGACGUCAAAUCAUCAUGCCCCUUAUGACCUGGGCUACACACGUGCUACAAUGGUUGGUACAACGAGUCGCAAGCCGGUGACGGCAAGCUAAUCUCUGAAAGCCAAUCUCAGUUCGGAUUGUAGGCUGCAACUCGCCUACAUGAAGUCGGAAUCGCUAGUAAUCGCGGAUCAGCACGCCGCGGUGAAUACGUUCCCGGGCCUUGUACACACCGCCCGUCACACCACGAGAGUUUGUAACACCCAAAGUCGGUGAGGUA